Long non-coding RNA from Equus asinus (donkey), 1496 nucleotides. The record is from Ensembl. NCBI's taxonomy places the organism in Eukaryota, Metazoa, Chordata, Mammalia, Perissodactyla, Equidae.
AGCCGUCCUCUCCAGCCUUCCCUUGGAUGGACACAGCCCCUGCCUCUGCCACUCCCUAUGCUGCCACUCAGGGACAGAAGCCAAGCUAGCAUGGACUGGCCUGGAGAAGAAGAGCAAAGAGGAAAGAAAACUGGCUUACUUUAGCACGAUGAUAUCCAGAAGGCAACACAUGAAUCCUGGUCAUCUUAAUCGUCAGAAUUCUGAGUGUGAUUAUAAAGUAGCACCAGGAUCCACCUGAGUUGUGACGUGGGUAGAUGAUGCCUUGGCCACAUUUCUUUUCCCCUUGGGUCCUGCCCUUUAAUGUCUUUACUUUGCAUGGCACUUCACAGUUUGCAAAUUUUUUGUGACCCAUCUACUCUCAUUUGAGCCUCCACAUAAUGCUAUCAGGUAAAGCAGGAAGCAUUAUUACUCCAUAUCUCAUCUGUGAUCACCGAGGUUAAGGAGAUCAAGUGACUCCAGUUUGCAGAGCUAGCGAGGAGCAAAGCCGCCUACGCACUUGGCAGUCUUUCUGUGGCAAGAACAGCUGCACCAGUCGCCGGAGCUCUCUUGGUUUUAAUUCCAUCUCCCUUUUCAUAACCCAGCCCCUGAGACUCAUUCACAAUAAAGUGUGAGUGACUCAUUCUUCCCAGGAGUGUCUGCACUUCAAUAUCAAAGGAAUCAAAUUCAGAGGAUAAAAUUUCAGACAUUAGCAAUCGAAUCAGAUGAGUUGGGGUGGGAAGGGGUAUAGGAACAAUGAGGGCUUCCCGACACUUCUAUAAUGACGUCCAGAAGCUUCUUCCAAAUGUAUCUAGAGGUUAAACUCAGUGCCCGACUCCCACGGAAGUUAAACACCAAGUUAUGCUGCUUCAGAUAAACCUUAUUUUAUUCCGAAAAUGAAGUGAUCACAUAAAUAAGGGAAGGCGAGAAGUUUAAAAAGAAUUAAAGCAAGGAAGUUAUGAGGAGAGAAUGUUGGGUGCCAAAAGAGGAAGAGGAUAUCAAUAACUAACAUUCUCAAGCUGUUAUAUCAAAUCAGAUACAGAAUGGUCCAUCGAGAAAUGAACAAAUUGAAAAUAUGGACUUCUCUCCCAGAUGAUGAAUAACAGCAAUUUUUAUGCUUUGUCCUUUUCUGCUCAUCAGAAUGAACGGCCGUGUAACGCACUCAGAAGAACCUCUGAAGCCCCUAUUAGAGAAAUGUAAUCAUCUUUGAAUCUAUGCAUACACUGAAAAGAGCAGGAGUAAUAGAGACUAUGAAGAAGAGUUUUUCUUCCAGGGGAAGAAGGAUGGGAGAAAUGCAGAGGACAUUAUUACCUCUGCUGCUCAGCACAGAUCCUCAACCUGAGCUACUUUUGAGGCUCCCUAAGGUGGAAACCUACAGAGGAAGCUACAGUGAACACCUUUGAUGCCAGGAGGCCCUCCAGGAAUAAACAAGACUCCAACAGACAUGGCAAUGUCCAGCAGCUCGCCUGGAAAGCAGAUUUGUUUGUGAGUCAUGUGACACACCCCUGAGGUCUUCCAAA